Molecule: ribosomal RNA, 301 nt
Filed under: uncultured bacterium
Lineage: Bacteria
Description: partial 16S ribosomal RNA
Rfam family: Bacterial small subunit ribosomal RNA
Source: RNAcentral
CAGCAGCCGCGGUAAGACGAACCGUGCGAACGUUAUUCGGAAUUACUGGGCUUAAAGCGCGUGUAGGCGGGUCGGCACGUCGGUCGCUGAAAUCCCCCGGCUCAACCGGGGAAGUGGCGCCGAUACGGCCGGCCUGGAGGGGGGUAGGGGGGCCUGGAACUUCCGGUGGAGCGGUGAAAUGCGUUGAGAUCGGAAGGAACACCCGUGGCGAAAGCGAGGCCCUGGACCCUUUCUGACGCUGAGACGCGAAAGCCAGGGGAGCGAACGGGAUUAGAGACCCCAGUAGUCCCUGUCUCUUAUA